This 696-nucleotide ribosomal RNA is filed under the name Draconarius brunneus. RNAcentral describes it as "SSU rRNA". It matches the Rfam family "Eukaryotic small subunit ribosomal RNA", at positions 428 to 1130 of the family's 1831-position model. The record is from RNAcentral. Lineage: Eukaryota; Metazoa; Arthropoda; Arachnida; Araneae; Agelenidae.
UCAGGCGCGCAAAUUACCCACUCCCAGAACGGGGAGGUAGUGACGAAAAAUAACAAUACGGGACUCUUUUGAGACCCCGUAAUUGGAAUGAGUACACUCUAAAUCCUUUAACGAGGAUCCAUUGGAGGGUAAGUCUGGUGCCAGCAACCGCGGUAAUUCCAGCUCCAAUAGCGUAUAUUAAAGUUGUUGCGGUUAAAAAGCUCGUAGUUGGAUCUCAGUUCCAGACGGGUGGUCCGCCUACCGGUGGUUACUGCCUGUUCUGAACAGUCAGCCGGUUUCUCUUGAUGAUCUUCACCGGUUGUCUUGGGUGACCGGCAAGUUUACUUUGAAAAAAUUAGAGUGCUCAAAGCAGGCGCGACGCCUGAAUAAUGGUGCAUGGAAUAAUGGAAUAGGACCUCGGUUCUAUUUUGUUGGUUUUCGGAACACGAGGUAAUGAUUAAGAGGGACAGACGGGGGCAUUCGUAUUGCGACGCUAGAGGUGAAAUUCUUGGACCGUCGCAAGACGAACUACUGCGAAAGCAUUUGCCAAGAAUGUUUCCAUUAAUCAAGAACGAAAGUUAGAGGUUCGAAGGCGAUCAGAUACCGCCCUAGUUCUAACCAUAAACGAUGCCAGCCAGCGAUCCGGACUGUGUUCCUCAAAUGACACGCCGGGCAGCUUCCGGGUAACCAAAGUUUUGGGUUCCGGGGAAUAUGUGC